This 253-nucleotide ribosomal RNA is filed under the name uncultured bacterium. Its description in RNAcentral is "partial 16S ribosomal RNA". It matches the Rfam family "Bacterial small subunit ribosomal RNA", at positions 524 to 776 of the family's 1533-position model. The record is from RNAcentral.
UACGGGGGGGGCAAGCGUUGUUCGGAAUUACUGGGCGUAAAGGGCUCGUAGGCGGCCAACUAAGUCAGACGUGAAAUCCCUCAGCUCAACUGGGGAACUGCGUCUGAUACUGGUCGGCUUGAGUGCAGGAGAGGAACGCGGAAUUCCAGGUGUAGCGGUGAAAUGCGUAGAUAUCUGGAGGAACACCGGUGGCGAAGGCGGCGUUCUGGACUGCAACUGACACUGAGGAACGAAAGCGUGGGGAGCGAACAGG